CGUUCCCGGGCCUUGUACACACCGCCCGUCACACCACGAGAGUUGACCGCGCCCGAAGCCGUUCGCCCAACCGCAAGGGGGGUAGCGUCUACGGCGAGGUCGGCGAUUGGGGUG
This 114-nucleotide ribosomal RNA is filed under the name uncultured bacterium. Its description in RNAcentral is "partial 16S ribosomal RNA". It matches the Rfam family "Bacterial small subunit ribosomal RNA", at positions 1369 to 1482 of the family's 1533-position model. The record is from RNAcentral.